CUACGGGUGGCUGCAGUGAGGAAUAUUGCACAAUGGGGGGAACCCUGAUGCAGCAACGCCGCGUGGAGGAUGACGCAUUUCGGUGUGUAAACUCCUUUUAUAUGUCAAGAAAAUGACGGUAGCAUAUGAAUAAGCACCGGCUAACUCCGUGCCAGCAGCCGCGGUAAUACGGGAGGGUGCAAGCGUUAAUCGGAAUCACUGGGCGUAAAGGACGCGUAGGCGGGUUGGAAAGUCAGGUGUGAAAUCCUACAGCUUAACUGUAGAACUGCACUUGAAACUUCUAAUCUAGAGUAUGGGAGGGGGAGAUGGAAUUAGUGGUGUAGGGGUAAAAUCCGUAGAUAUCACUAGGAAUACCUAAAGCGAAGGCGAUCUCCUGGAACAUUACUGACGCUAAGGCGUGAAAGCGUGGGGAGCAAACAGGAUUAGAUACCCGAGUAGUC
This 440-nucleotide ribosomal RNA is filed under the name uncultured bacterium. Its description in RNAcentral is "partial 16S ribosomal RNA". It matches the Rfam family "Bacterial small subunit ribosomal RNA", at positions 339 to 795 of the family's 1533-position model. The record is from RNAcentral.